This 479-nucleotide ribosomal RNA is filed under the name uncultured bacterium. Its description in RNAcentral is "partial 16S ribosomal RNA". It matches the Rfam family "Bacterial small subunit ribosomal RNA", at positions 28 to 523 of the family's 1533-position model. The record is from RNAcentral.
GACGAACGCUAGCGGCGUGCUUAACACAUGCAAGUCGAGCGAUGAAGCACCUUCGGGUGUGAAUUAGCGGCGAACGGGGGAGGAACACGUGAGAAAUCUGCCUUCAACACUGGGAUAACUCCGGGACACCGGGGCUAAUACCGGAUAUGAAACCUGCGGGAAUCCGCGGGUUUGGAAAGUUUUUUGGUUGAAGAUUAUUUCGCGGCCUAUCAGCUUGUUGGUGAGGUAAUGGCUCACCAAGGCUACGACGGGUAGCCGGCCUGAGAGGGCGACCGGCCACACUGGGACUGAGACACGGCCCAGACUCCUACGGGAGGCAGCAGUGGGGAAUAUUGGGCAAUGGAGGAAACUCUGACCCAGCGACGCCGCGUGCGGGAUGAAGGCCUUCGGGUUGUAAACCGCUUUCAGCAGGGAAGAAGCGAAAGUGACGGUACCUGCAGAAGAAGCACCGGCUAACUAUGUGCCAGCCGCCGCCGUAA